RNAcentral lists this ribosomal RNA (253 nucleotides) under uncultured bacterium. RNAcentral describes it as "partial 16S ribosomal RNA". It matches the Rfam family "Bacterial small subunit ribosomal RNA", at positions 524 to 776 of the family's 1533-position model. The record is from RNAcentral.
AACGUAGGAGACAAACGUUAUCCGGAGUUACUGGGCGUAAAGGGCGUGUAGGCGGUCGACUAAGUCUGGCGUGAAAGCUCGCGGCUAAACCGCGAGAGGUCGUUGGAUACUGGUUGACUAGAGGACGGUAGAGGCGUGUGGAAUUCCGGGUGUAGUGGUGAAAUGCGUAGAGAUCCGGAGGAACCCCAGAGGCGAAGGCGACGCCCUGGCUCGUACCUGACGCUCAGCCACGAAAGCAUGGGGAGCGAACGGG